This 472-nucleotide ribosomal RNA is filed under the name uncultured bacterium. RNAcentral describes it as "bacterial SSU rRNA". It matches the Rfam family "Bacterial small subunit ribosomal RNA", at positions 335 to 801 of the family's 1533-position model. The record is from RNAcentral.
ACUCCUACGGGAGGCAGCAGUGGGAAUAUUGGACAAUGGGGAACCGUAGCAUCCAGCCAUGCCGCGUGUGUGAAGAAGGCCUUCGGGUUGUAAAGCACUUUCAGUGGGGAGGAAAGGUUGUUGGUUAAUACCUAACAGCUGUGACGUUACCCACAGAAGAAGCACCGGCUAACUCCGUGCCAGCAGCCGCGGUAAUACGGAGGGUGCGAGCGUUAUCCGGAUUUAUUGGGUUUAAAGGGUCCGUAGGCGGAUUAAUAAGUCAGUGGUGAAAUCCCAUCGCUUAACGAUGGAACUGCCAUUGAUACUGUUAGUCUUGAAUGAGGGUGCAGUGGUUGGAAUGUGUAGUGUAGCGGUGAAAUGCAUAGAUAUUACACAGAACACCGAUUGCGAAGGCAGAUCACUAACCCUAAAUUGACGCUGAGGGACGAAAGCGUGGGGAGCGAACAGGAUUAGAUACCCUGUAGGCUUUGCU